UCCUAGUUUCACUCAAGUCAGUAGAGUAUGAGACUCUUAUUCUUGGGGUCGUGGGUUUGAGUCCCACAUUGGGCA
This is a non-coding RNA of Podarcis lilfordi (Lilford's wall lizard), 75 nucleotides long. Lineage: Eukaryota; Metazoa; Chordata; Lepidosauria; Squamata; Lacertidae. The record is from the annotation of a GenBank genome assembly.